AGAGUUUGAUCCUGGCUCAGGAUGAACGCUAGCGGCAGGCCUAACACAUGCAAGUCGAGGGGCAGUCAACGGUGUAGCAAUACACUGGUGGCGACCGGCGCACGGGUGCGUAACGCGUAUGCAACCUACCCAUAACAGGGGGAUAACACUGAGAAAUUGGUACUAAUACCCCAUAACAUCAGGACCGGCAUCGGUUCUGGUUGAAAACUCCGGUGGUUAUGGAUGGGCAUGCGUUGUAUUAGCUGGUUGGUG
This 252-nucleotide ribosomal RNA is filed under the name uncultured bacterium. RNAcentral's name for it is "partial 16S ribosomal RNA". It matches the Rfam family "Bacterial small subunit ribosomal RNA", at positions 8 to 254 of the family's 1533-position model. The record is from RNAcentral.